CCUACGGGGGGCAGCAGUAGGGAAUUUUCGUCAAUGGGCGCAAGCCUGAACGAGCAAUGCCGCGUGAACGAGGAAGGUCUUCGGAUCGUAAAGUUCUGUUGAAGGGGAAAAAGAGCGGAGAGAGGAAAUGAACUCCGAUUGAUAUUACCCUUCGAGGAAGUCACGGCUAACUACGUGCCAGCAGCCGCGGUAAUAAGUAGGUGGCGAGGGUUGGCCGGAUUGAUUGGGCGGAAAGGGUGCGUAGGCGGCCUGCUAAGUCUGGAGGGAAAGGUACCGGCUCAACCGGUACAGGCUCUGGAAACUGGCGGGCUAGAGAGCAGGAGAGGGCGGUGGAACUCCAUGUGUAGCGGUAAAAUGCGUAGAUAUAUGGAAGAACACCAGUGGCGAAGGCGGCCGCCUGGCCUGUUACUGACGCUGAGGCACGAAAGCGUGGGGAGCAAAUAGGAUUAGAUACCCUUGUAGUC
Molecule: ribosomal RNA, 464 nt
Filed under: uncultured bacterium
Lineage: Bacteria
Description: partial 16S ribosomal RNA
Rfam family: Bacterial small subunit ribosomal RNA
Source: RNAcentral